This 66-nucleotide transfer RNA is filed under the name Trichodes sp. RNAcentral's name for it is "tRNA-Phe". The record is from RNAcentral. Lineage: Eukaryota; Metazoa; Arthropoda; Insecta; Coleoptera; Cleridae.
AUUUAAGUAGCUUAUGUUAGAGUAUAAUAUUGAAGAUAUUAAGGAAAUUAUUUAAAUUCUUAAAUA